UAGGGAAUCUUCGGCAAUGGGUGCAACCCUGACCGAGCAACGCCGCGUGAGUGAAGAAGGUUUUCGGAUCGUAAAGCUCUGUUGUAAGAGAAGAACGUGUGUGAGAGUGGAAAGUUCACACAGUGACGGUAACUUACCAGAAAGGGACGGCUAACUACGUGCCAGCAGCCGCGGUAAUACGUAGGUCCAGAGCGUUGUCCGGAUUUAUUGGGCGUAAAGCGAGCGCAGGCGGUUUAAUAAGUCUGAAGUUAAAGUCAGUGGCUUAACCAUUGUUCGCUUUGGAAACUGUUAAACUUGAGUGCAGAAGGGGAGAGUGGAAUUCCAUGUGUAGCGGUGAAAUGCGUAGAUAUAUGGAGGAACACCGGUGGCGAAAGCGGCUCUCUGGUCUGUAACUGACGCUGAGGCUCGAAAGCGUGGGGAGCAAACGGG
This 429-nucleotide ribosomal RNA is filed under the name bacterium. RNAcentral's name for it is "partial 16S ribosomal RNA". It matches the Rfam family "Bacterial small subunit ribosomal RNA", at positions 355 to 776 of the family's 1533-position model. The record is from RNAcentral.